AUUGAACGCUGGCGGCAGGCUUAACACAUGCAAGUCGAGCGGAGAGAGGUAGCUUGCUACUGAUCUUAGCGGCGGACGGGUGAGUAAUGCUUAGGAAUCUGCCUAUUAGUGGGGGACAACAUUUCGAAAGGAAUGCUAAUACCGCAUACGUCCUACGGGAGAAAGCAGGGGAUCUUCGGACCUUGCGCUAAUAGAUGAGCCUUUGUCGGAUUAGCUAGUUGGUGGGGUAAAGGCCUACCAAGGCGACGAUCUGUAGCGGGCCUGAGAGGAUGAUCCGCCACACUGGGACUGAGACACGGCCCAGACUCCUACGGGAGGCAGCAGUGGGGAAUAUUGGACAAUGGGCGCAAGCCUGAUCCAGCCAUGCCGCGUGUGUGAAGAAGGCCUUAUGGUUGUAAAGCACUUUAAGCGAGGAGGAGGCUACUUUAGUUAAUACCUAGAGAUAGUGGACGUUACUCGCAGAAUAAGCACCGGCUAACUCUGUGCCAGCCGCCGCGGUAA
RNAcentral lists this ribosomal RNA (501 nucleotides) under uncultured bacterium. RNAcentral describes it as "partial 16S ribosomal RNA". It matches the Rfam family "Bacterial small subunit ribosomal RNA", at positions 30 to 523 of the family's 1533-position model. The record is from RNAcentral.